GGGAGAGCAGGAGAGAGGUAAGAAGGCCUAAGUUUGAGACCUGCUCUGGGGAGAACACUCAAAGUACAUUCUGGAACCAUUAAACCCCAGGAUGGAACAGCCAGCAUCUCAUCCAAGCAGAAUCUUGGUGGCUUUGGGGAAAUUCUGGAAAAUGCCACUUGCCAGUGUGAAUUAAAGGGAUGUGUCCUGAGACUAGAGCUGUGCUACAUAGGAGGGUGAACAGUUAGACCGGUUACCCCUCCUAUGCAGGGCUGACCCUGCUGAGUGGAUGGGGGCAGCACCCCAGUGCCCCCAAAUUCCAUCAUUGGUGAGUGUUCUUUUUCACCAAAGAGGCAUGAAGGGUAUUUGGGCAGUAUGACUAAGAGAAAUCUCUAAAUCUCCAGUGCUGUCAGGAUGGGCCUUCCCACCGCACCAAGCCAAGUCCAGUCCCAGGAGAGACUGUCCCCUGUUCAGAGCUCUCAAGCCUUCCUCAGCCACACCUCAUUCCAGUUCCCCAGAAAUCCCAGCCAGGGGCCUCAAACUGGUCUGGAGCAAGGAAACAAAAUGAAGAGAAGUUGACUUUUCUGAUUCUAAACUGAGAACACCACAUUGGAAAAUCUUUUUUUGUUUUGUUUUGCUACCUGAGUUGAGAUCCUAAAACAUAAAAUCUGAUGGACUUGAAAAGCACAAGCCCUAAAAUUCCUCCACUGAGACAACCCCCUCUCUAGGCGGCUCUCAGAAGCUUCCAGAAUCUACGUGGCUUUUCUGGGAGUGGACGGAGGAGAAGGAGGGUUGGAAAUGGAUGCUCCUAGAUUUCUUGUGAUGACCAACCCAAUUACUUCUGCCAAAUUGCUCUGUGAUUUGCCCUGAUUGGGAUGAAUUGUGAAAUUCACGUCAAGCAAUUCUGGAAGUGGUCUGCAUCCCGUCAGCCUCUACCUGUAGGUGUGAAUGUCAUUAGGUCCUCUGCUGACCCCUGAGCUCCCGUCACUGCUGCCUAAUGGGGCAAAGAAGCAAAAAACAUUUCUUACUCUUAUGUGUUUUAACAAAAGUUUAUAAAGCGAAAUAAAUGGCGCCUAUGUUUUCUAA
RNAcentral lists this long non-coding RNA (1065 nucleotides) under Equus asinus (donkey). RNAcentral's name for it is "lncRNA (ENSEASG00005038376.1)". Lineage: Eukaryota; Metazoa; Chordata; Mammalia; Perissodactyla; Equidae. The record is from RNAcentral.